Molecule: ribosomal RNA, 254 nt
Filed under: uncultured bacterium
Lineage: Bacteria
Description: partial 16S ribosomal RNA
Rfam family: Archaeal small subunit ribosomal RNA
Source: RNAcentral
UACCGGCAGUUCGAGUGAUGGCCGUUCUUAUUGGGCCUAAAGCGUCCGUAGCCGGCCAGGUAAGUUCGUCGGGAAAUCCACAUGCUCAACAUGUGGGCGUCCGGCGAAACCUGCCUGGCUUGGGACCGGACGGCCCGAGGGGUACGGCCGGGGUAGGAGUGAAAUCCUGUAAUCCCGGCCGGACCACCGGUGGCGAAAGCGCCUCGGGAGGACGGAUCCGACGGUGAGGGACGAAAGCCAGGGUCACGAACCGG